UACAGGGGGGGCAAGCGUUGUUCGGAAUUCCUGGGCGUAAAGGGUUUGUAGGUGGCUUGUUAAGUCAGACGUGAAAUCCCUCAGCUUAACUGGGGAACUGCGUCUGAUACUGAUGAGCUUGAGUGCAGGAGAGGAACGCGGAAUUCCAGGUGUAGCGGUGAAAUGCGUAGAUAUCUGGAGGAACACCGGUGGCGAAGGCGGCGUUCUGGACUGCAACUGACACUGAGAAACGAAAGCCAGGGGAGCAAACGGG
Molecule: ribosomal RNA, 253 nt
Filed under: uncultured bacterium
Lineage: Bacteria
Description: partial 16S ribosomal RNA
Rfam family: Bacterial small subunit ribosomal RNA
Source: RNAcentral